This 485-nucleotide long non-coding RNA is filed under the name Nicotiana benthamiana. RNAcentral's name for it is "long non-coding RNA (NBEN_LNC039219)". Lineage: Eukaryota; Viridiplantae; Streptophyta; Magnoliopsida; Solanales; Solanaceae. The record is from RNAcentral.
UGUGGAAUCCUGUCAUGACAAAUAUUUUGGACACAGUUUCAUAUAAUGAAAACCUUGAUACAAAGUAAUUAAAUCAAUUCAUGACAAAAAUCUUGGACGCAGUUUUAUAUAAUGAAAACCUCGAUACAAAGUAACUAAAUCAAUCUGCAGAGGUCUUACUUAUCAUUAAAGAUGUAGGUGGGGUGGGGGUUCCUGAACCCUUUCUCCCAAACUUAUACACCAUGUGACAGUAUCUGAACAGUGAAACUUUACAAAAAUCCAGAAAACUGAAGUGAGAUUAAGACAAUGAUUGCAUCAAUUGAGAAGAGAGGUUAUUGUGAGAGGUUAAAACAAUGGAGAAAUGAGAAUGUGAAGUAAGAGAGGAAAUGAUUCCUUUAGCAGAAGGCUGACACUGCCUGAAGAUGUCUUGUGAGAAAUUACUAAUUCUUUCUGGGCUUGUGAUUCAUAAAUGAAAAAUGAACAUCUGAAUGAAUUUGAAUAGAAGG